UGGGGAAUAUUGGACAAUGGGCGAAAGCCUGAUCCAGCCAUGCCGCGUGUGUGAAGAAGGUCUUCGGAUUGUAAAGCACUUUAAGUUGGGAGGAAGGGCAUUAACCUAAUACGUUAGUGUUUUGACGUUACCGACAGAAUAAGCACCGGCUAACUCUGUGCCAGCAGCCGCGGUAAUACAGAGGGUGCAAGCGUUAAUCGGAAUUACUGGGCGUAAAGCGCGCGUAGGUGGUUUGUUAAGUUGGAUGUGAAAUCCCCGGGCUCAACCUGGGAACUGCAUUCAAAACUGACUGACUAGAGUAUGGUAGAGGGUGGUGGAAUUUCCUGUGUAGCGGUGAAAUGCGUAGAUAUAGGAAGGAACACCAGUGGCGAAGGCGACCACCUGGACUAAUACUGACACUGAGGUGCGGAAGCGUGGGGAGCAAACA
Molecule: ribosomal RNA, 427 nt
Filed under: uncultured bacterium
Lineage: Bacteria
Description: partial 16S ribosomal RNA
Rfam family: Bacterial small subunit ribosomal RNA
Source: RNAcentral